This 468-nucleotide ribosomal RNA is filed under the name uncultured bacterium. RNAcentral's name for it is "partial 16S ribosomal RNA". It matches the Rfam family "Bacterial small subunit ribosomal RNA", at positions 28 to 507 of the family's 1533-position model. The record is from RNAcentral.
GACGAACGCUGGCGGCGUGCUUAACACAUGCAAGUCGAACGGAAAGGCCCUGCUUUUGUGGGGUGCUCGAGUGGCGAACGGGUGAGUAACACGUGAGUAACCUGCCCUUGACUUUGGGAUAACUUCAGGAAACUGGGGCUAAUACCGGAUAGGAGCUCCUGCUGCAUGGUGGGGGUUGGAAAGUUUCGGCGGUUGGGGAUGGACUCGCGGCUUAUCAGCUUGUUGGUGGGGUAGUGGCUUACCAAGGCUUUGACGGGUAGCCGGCCUGAGAGGGUGAACGGCCACAUUGGGACUGAGAUACGGCCCAGACUCCUACGGGAGGCAGCAGUGGGGAAUAUUGCACAAUGGGCGGAAGCGUGAUGCAGCAACGCCGCGUGCGGGAUGACGGCCUUCGGGUUGUAAACCGCUUUAGCCUGUGACGAAGCGUGAGUGACGGUAAUGGGUAAAGAAGCACCGGCUAACUACGUG